This 494-nucleotide ribosomal RNA is filed under the name uncultured bacterium. RNAcentral describes it as "bacterial SSU rRNA". It matches the Rfam family "Bacterial small subunit ribosomal RNA", at positions 28 to 520 of the family's 1533-position model. The record is from RNAcentral.
GAUGAACGCUAGCGGCAGGCUUAACACAUGCAAGUCGAGGGGUAUAGUUGUUCGGAAUUAGAGACCGGCGCACGGGUGCGUAACGCGUAUGCAAUCUACCUUUCACAGAGGGAUAGCCCCAGAGAAAUUUGGAUUAAUACCUCAUAGUAUAGCAGUUUCGCAUGAAACCACUAUUAAAGUCACAACGGUGAAAGAUGAGCAUGCGUCCCAUUAGCUAGUUGGUAAGGUAACGGCUUACCAAGGCAACGAUGGGUAGGGGUCCUGAGAGGGAGAUCCCCCACACUGGUACUGAGACACGGACCAGACUCCUACGGGAGGCAGCAGUGAGGAAUAUUGGACAAUGGGCGCAAGCCUGAUCCAGCCAUGCCGCGUGCAGGGAUGACGGUCCUAUGGAUUGUAAACUGCUUUUGUACGGGAAGAAACACUCCUACGUGUAGGAGCUUGACGGUACCGUAAGAAUAAGGNUCGGCUAACUCCGUGCCAGCAGCCGACGG